Molecule: ribosomal RNA, 492 nt
Filed under: uncultured bacterium
Lineage: Bacteria
Description: partial 16S ribosomal RNA
Rfam family: Bacterial small subunit ribosomal RNA
Source: RNAcentral
GAUGAACGCUAGCGGGAGGCUUAACACAUGCAAGUCGAGGGGUAGGGUAGCAAUACCUGAGACCGGCGCACGGGUGCGUAACGCGUAUGCAACCUGCCUUAUACAGGGGGAUAGCCCAUGGAAACGUGGAUUAACACCCCAUAGGAUUACGGGAUCGCAUGAUUUUGUGAUUAAAACUGAGGUGGUAUAAGAUGGGCAUGCGUCUGAUUAGGUAGUUGGUGAGGUAAUGGCUCACCAAGCCGACGAUCAGUAGGGGUUCUGAGAGGAUUACCCCCCACACUGGUACUGAGACACGGACCAGACUCCUACGGGAGGCAGCAGUGAGGAAUAUUGGUCAAUGGCCGGAAGGCUGAACCAGCCAUCCCGCGUGCAGGAUGACGGCCCUAUGGGUUGUAAACUGCUUUUGUACCUGAAGAAUUGUCCCAACGAGUUGGGAUUUGCCGGUAAGGUAUGAAUAAGCAUCGGCUAACUCCGUGCCAGCCGCCGCUGUAA